Molecule: ribosomal RNA, 628 nt
Filed under: uncultured bacterium
Lineage: Bacteria
Description: bacterial SSU rRNA
Rfam family: Bacterial small subunit ribosomal RNA
Source: RNAcentral
ACGGGUGAGUAAUGCUUGGGAAUCUAGCUUAUGGAGGGGGAUAACUACGGGAAACUGUAGCUAAUACCGCGUAAUAUCGAAAGAUUAAAGUGUGGGACCUUCGGGCCACAUGCCAUAGGAUGAGCCCAAGUGGGAUUAGGUAGUUGGUGGGGUAAAGGCCUACCAAGCCUGCGAUCUCUAGCUGGUCUGAGAGGAUGGCCAGCCACACUGGAACUGAGACACGGUCCAGACUCCUACGGGAGGCAGCAGUGGGGAAUAUUGCGCAAUGGGGGGAACCCUGACGCAGCCAUGCCGCGUGAAUGAAGAAGGCCUUCGGGUUGUAAAGUUCUUUCGGUAUUGAGGAAGGAGUGUAUGUUAAUAGCAUACAUUAUUGACGUUAAAUACAGAAGAAGCACCGGCUAACUCCGUGCCAGCAGCCGCGGUAAUACGGAGGGUGCGAGCGUUAAUCGGAAUAACUGGGCGUAAAGGGCACGCAGGCGGUUAUUUAAGUGAGGUGUGAAAGCCCCGGGCUUUACCUGGGGAAUUGCAUUUCAGACUGGGUAACUAGAGUAACUUUAGGGAGGGGUAGAAUUCCACGUGUAGCGGUGAAAUGCGUAGAAAUGUGGAGGAAUACCGAAGGUUAAGGCAU